This 253-nucleotide ribosomal RNA is filed under the name uncultured bacterium. RNAcentral's name for it is "partial 16S ribosomal RNA". It matches the Rfam family "Bacterial small subunit ribosomal RNA", at positions 524 to 776 of the family's 1533-position model. The record is from RNAcentral.
UACGUAGGGGGCUAGCGUUGUCCGGAUUUAUUGGGCGUAAAGAGCGUGUAGGCGGCCAGAUAGGUCUGCUGUGAAAACUCGAGGCUCAACCUCGAGCUGUCGGCGGAAACCAUUUGGCUAGAGUCCGGAAGAGGAGAGUGGAGUUCCUGGUGUAGCGGUGAAAUGCGCAGAUAUCAGGAAGAACACCUAUGGCGAAGGCAGCUCUCUGGGACGGUACUGACGCUGAGAAGCGAAAGCAUGGGGAGCGAACAGG